This 432-nucleotide ribosomal RNA is filed under the name uncultured bacterium. Its description in RNAcentral is "partial 16S ribosomal RNA". It matches the Rfam family "Bacterial small subunit ribosomal RNA", at positions 29 to 506 of the family's 1533-position model. The record is from RNAcentral.
AACGAACGCUGGCGGCAUGCCUAACACAUGCAAGUCGAACGAGACCUUCGGGUCUAGUGGCGCACGGGUGCGUAACGCGUGGGAACCUGCCCUUAGGUUCGGAAUAACUCCCCGAAAGGGGUGCUAAUACCGGAUAAUGUCUUCGGACCAAAGAUUUAUCGCCUUUGGAUGGGCCCGCGUUGGAUUAGCUAGUUGGUAGGGUAAAAGCCUACCAAGGCGACGAUCCAUAGCUGGUCUGAGAGGAUGAUCAGCCACACUGGGACUGAGACACGGCCCAGACUCCUCGGGGAGGCAGCAGGGGGGAAUAUUGGAAAAUGGGCGAAAGCCUGAUCCAGCAAUGCCGGGUGAGUGAUGAAGGCCUUAGGGUUGUAAAGCUUUUUUACCCGGGAUGAUAAUGACAGGACCGGGAGAAUAAGCCCCGGCUAACUCCGU